AUGUAUCGAUGAUGUUUAAAUAUUACUGCGUUAUCUAUCUGUAAAUUCCUCAACAGGAUUUGAAGAUAAUGAAAACCUACUGAGAUCUGAUUUUGUAUCCAUUACGAGUUUAUUAUUUUAUAUUUUUUUAUGAAUUUUUUAAAGGAAGAUUGAAAUUAGAGGGUCGAUGAUGAUGCAUUUCACUUUGUUAUCCUUGCACUUUGAUACAUAUAUGAAGAAAACUAUGGGGAAAGUUAUUCUGAGAGCUUU
This 249-nucleotide long non-coding RNA is filed under the name Helianthus annuus (common sunflower). RNAcentral's name for it is "sRNA HanXRQr2_Chr02g0047121". The stretch from base 1 to 91 matches the Rfam family "Small nucleolar RNA snoR27". Lineage: Eukaryota; Viridiplantae; Streptophyta; Magnoliopsida; Asterales; Asteraceae. The record is from RNAcentral.